Molecule: ribosomal RNA, 253 nt
Filed under: uncultured bacterium
Lineage: Bacteria
Description: partial 16S ribosomal RNA
Rfam family: Bacterial small subunit ribosomal RNA
Source: RNAcentral
UACGUAGGGUGCGAGCGUUGUCCGGAAUUACUGGGCGUAAAGAGCUCGUAGGUGGUUUGUCGCGUUGUUCGUGAAAACUCACAGCUCAACUGUGGGCGUGCGGGCGAUACGGGCAGACUGGAGUACUGCAGGGGAGACUGGAAUUCCUGGUGUAGCGGUGGAAUGCGCAGAUAUCAGGAGGAACACCGGUGGCGAAGGCGGGUCUCUGGGCCGAAAUUGACGCUGAGGAGCGAAAGCGUGGGGAGCAAACAGG